ACUCCCUCCUGCCGGGCCCCUCUCUCUCUUGCUUUCUCUAUGUCUCUUGCUCUCUCUUGCUUUCUCUGUCUCUCUCUUGCGCGCGCUUCCUCUCUCUCUCUCUCUCUUUCUCUUUCUCUCUCUUCUCCUCGGUUGCACUGCUGCAACAAAGAUCUCUUGGUUGCUCUGAGUGUUGUGGUCACUUUCCUUUCAUUGGUGCUGAAACCCGCGAGAGGGUUAAAACCCACUUUUGGGUCCCUCUUCCUUCGGAAAUGCCACUCACCGGACGACCUGAACCCAUUUUCUCGAUCGCCAGAACUCCAUCCACCACCAGCCUUAGUUGGAUAGAUGACUUCCCUACAUCCAGGGAAAUUGCUGACACCAUUGCCUCCAUCCUCAUUGAGGGGAUCAUUCCCAGGUUCGAACUUCCCACCUCCAUCCAGUGAGACAGUGGUCCAGCUCUCACUUCUCAGGUUGUUCAACUAGUCUCCAAAGGCCUCAACAUCACCUGGAGUCUCCACAUCUCCCACUAACCCCAAUCCUUGGUUUUUAUCUCAAACCACAGAUGCCACUUCUACAACCAAACCACCAGGAUGACACCACCCACUCUCAGUUUAUGGGUCAAGGCGAUUGCUCUUCCACUGGCUGAAAUCGGGCUGUCACCCUUAACAUUACUGGAUUCAACCAAGCCACCUCUGAUACUUCCUAGAGUCCCUACAACAGGACCAAUGGCUGAUACCAAGAAUCUCCUCCAUCUAGGACUGGUUUGAUGCCAUCAACGACUUGUGGCUUCAAGGAACUUUUAUGGACUUUACCCCUACCAAAGUAGUUAUUAUAGCCACUGAGUGUUAUUUCUGGCUGCCCUGAUGUUCUCAGACCUGUCCCCGGAACAUUCCUCCACUUCCCCUUCUAGGCCCAACACCACCCACCAUUAAGCAGGAAGUAGCCAGAGGACUUUACGCUGUCCCCCAUGUCACUUAGAAAAACAAAAAGGGAGGAAUGUUAGGUGCAGGACAGGCUGAGUAAGCUGUCUGCAGGGCAUGCCAAACAAAGUUAGCUGCAGGGUGACCUGGCCACUCAAACUCUCUGUCUGGCUCUUUAUCACCUGUUUGCUUCAAGCCCAAACGCCCAAGCCCCGGCUCAAGGCUGAACGCUUCGCCCCCCCUGCUCAAGGCUGAACACUCAACCCCCUGCUCAAGGCCGAACACAUAACCCCCCUUGUGCCAACAAGGCAGCUUGCAGACCCAGAGACCUCAUUAGAUUUGGGCUAUAAAAACUCCCUCCUGCCGGGCCCCUCUCUCUCUUGCUUUCUCUAUCUCUCUUGCUCUCUCUUGCUUUCUCUGUCUCUCUCUUGCGCGUGCUUCCUCUCUCUCUCUCUCUUUCUCUUUCUCUCUCUUCUCCUCUGUUGCACUGCUGCAAUAAAGAUCUCUUGGUGGCUCUGA
This is a long non-coding RNA of Marmota monax (woodchuck), 1421 nucleotides long. RefSeq lists it as uncharacterized. The record is from RefSeq and is a predicted model, not a curated record. The transcript is spliced from 3 exons. NCBI's taxonomy places the organism in Eukaryota, Metazoa, Chordata, Mammalia, Rodentia, Sciuridae.